Molecule: long non-coding RNA, 492 nt
Filed under: Elaeis guineensis (African oil palm)
Lineage: Eukaryota; Viridiplantae; Streptophyta; Magnoliopsida; Arecales; Arecaceae
Description: long non-coding RNA (EGUI_LNC055718)
Source: RNAcentral
UUGGCAUGAGAAUGAGAAGAAAAAGAGAGGAAAAAGUCUGGAUAAAGACAAGAAAAAAAGAGAGAAAAAAAUGGAAAGGAAGGGAUGAGGGAAAAUAGAAAGCAUGAGAUGCUUGUCAAACAAUCAGAUUGUUCAUAUGUCGAACAUAAAAUCUGAUUUAUGUGUAGUGAGAUCUUUUGAAAAAGGAUUUCUAAAGAGAUCCUAGUGGAGGUCAUAAAGGUAUACAAGCGAAGGUGCAACCAGUUCUUACGAAAGACGGUCGGCAGGGAGCUUGCGAAGAAGGCUGCAGCACCAUGACGAAUUGGGAAGGGCCCUGAUCAGUUCUGUGUGGAUCACCGUUGGAGGACUUCUAUUUUGGAAUCUUGUGGAGGUCUCAAAAUUAUCAGAUCUUGAUCUUCUCAUUGAUAUAUAACUUCUGAUCUCUUCCUGAUAUGUAUGUUUUUUAUCGUUUGAUUGUAAUCAUUAAAAGAUUUCUAAGAUUUUAUGUUUCGG